RNAcentral lists this ribosomal RNA (537 nucleotides) under uncultured Russula. RNAcentral's name for it is "eukaryotic LSU rRNA". The stretch from base 45 to 198 matches the Rfam family "5.8S ribosomal RNA". The record is from RNAcentral. Lineage: Eukaryota; Fungi; Basidiomycota; Agaricomycetes; Russulales; Russulaceae.
CCCUUUGAAUGCAUGUGCAGAAUGUCUUACUUUAUAAUCAAUACAACUUUCAACAACGGAUCUCUUGGCUCUCGCAUCGAUGAAGAACGCAGCGAAAUGCGAUACGUAAUGUGAAUUGCAGAAUUCAGUGAAUCAUCGAAUCUUUGAACGCACCUUGCGCCCCUUGGUAUUCCGAGGGGCACACCCGUUUGAGUGUCGUGAAUAUUCUCAACCUUCUUGGUUUCUUUGACCAGGAAGGCUUGGACUUUGGAGGUUUUCCUUGCUGGCCUCUUUUGAAGCCAGCUCCUCCUAAAUGAAUUAGUGGGGUCCACUUUGGUGAUCCUCGACGUGAUAAGGAUUUCUUCUACGUCUUGGGUUUCGCAGUGUAACCGCUUUCUAACUGUCUUUGAAGAAAGACAAUGUUUAUAAACCUUGACCUCAAAUCGGGUGAGACUACCCGCUGAACUUAAGCAUAUCAAUAAGCGGAGGAAAAGAAACUAACAAGGAUUCCCCUAGUAACUGCGAGUGAAGCGGGAAAAGCUCAAAUUUAAAAUCUGG